CGCGGGGCGUGCCUUUCCCUGGACACAUUUUUUCAAACCCGACCGCAUUGCACCAAGCCUGAUGCUUUGCACUAUGGAAUAUAAUAUUUAUUCAUUUAUUUAAUUUUGACUAAAACGGCAUUCCAUAUUGGACGCUCCGUGUCCUUUGCACUUAUUAUUUUUUUGUUUUAUUUAGACAGAAUAUAUUUUUUUACAUUCCGAUCCUGACAAAUAAAACGUUCUUUGAAAUUACUUUUAUUACUAUAUUGUAUUGUCAUUAUGUGGCAUAAAAUGGUCUGAAAAUUGCAAUAAUAUCGCAAUAAAUGUUGGUGCAAUAAUUGCACAACAAAAAUUUGAUAUCGUGACAGCCCUAAUUGUGAAAAUUUCACACACAUUUGAGAAUAGAAUACAACACUGAAAUGAUUAUGGCCUUAAAUAUAACACGCACGUGACUGUUAGAGACUGUAGAGGCGGUGAUUGUAGCCCUAGAUGAAAGCCUAGAUAAUUUCCUUCAGCGAAAUGCUUUACCCAGCAUAAGACCACUUUAAUACAAAGGCUUCAGGAUUGAAAAUGCUUGUUGCUGGCAAAAACGUUAAUGUUUGGUAUGAAUUUAACUUCGCUGUACAGGUACUUGUGUAUUAAUAUUCUCCUCUUUUUUGGUAUUUGGGUCGCUUCCCCCCUUAUGGUCAGAUGAAAGUUUGGAUCAAGACUGGAAACAGUGCUGGACGUUCUAGCCACUAGACUAGCUCCAGUCAUAAAUGAGUUUAGAUUGUCAGAGAAUAAGGCUUUUAAUUCAAAUGAAUACACAUAAUGUAAAUAUCUGUAACAUAUUCAAAGGCACACUGUUCUGUUAUUUCUUAGUGUACAGGAUGUAGGCUGACGUUUAUUGCUCUUCAAAGGAAUGCACUCUUUCCACUGGCACAUGUGCUUCAUGGAAAUUUGUGACUUUUUUUUGUAAUUGAAGAGGAAUUACUUGGGUAAUUGUUGUUGCUGAUCUUUUUGGGGGCGUGGUUUUGAAAGGGGAUGGCUAUCUGUUUUACUGUCUUGAUGAACUUGCUAAUUUUAGGGACUUGAGAAAUUGCUGCUACAUACUUGGGUUGGAAAAUAAAUUACAACAUUGGACUUUUUGCGGGUUGGAUCUUUUUUUAAAUUAUUUUUUGAAUCUAGCUUUUUUUCUUCUUUAAGUACUAUAAUAUAUUUUUUGUUUCCAGCCCGGCCACAUGACUUCUUUGAUGCUCAGACCAUGGAUGCUAUCCGCCAUCGAGCCAUCUGCCUCAACCUGGCAACACAUAUUGAGAGCCUGGGCAACGGACACAGUGUGGUCUUCCACAGCACGGUAAUAGCCCGGAGGAAAGAGGACUCUGGGAAAGUGAAGGUCUUGUUGCACUGGUCACCUGAAGACAUGUAAGUUGUGCUUCCCUCUUUUACCAUUGUCUUCAUUUACUCCUAACCCUAUCAAAAUAAUCUAGAUAUGGAUUCAAUUGUUUGUUCAUAACUCAAUUCCAGCUGCUGAAAGGAUCUGAGGCACAAAUAAAUGACAAGUUUUAAUUGACAAUUGAGUCUUAAAGGCAGAUAUAUUCAUCCUCCGGCUGAGACCAUAAAUGAAUGCCCUCAUAUAAUCAACAGGGUUCGUACGGUCAUGGAAAACCUGGAAAAGUCAUGGAAUUUCAAAAUGGUCAUUUCCAGGCCUGGAAAAGUCAUGGAAAGAAAUAAAAUCCUAAAAGUUUUGGAAAAGUCAUGGAAAUUUGUUAUAUUUCUAUGGUCAUGUGGUUCAUUUAAGAUUACGUUUGAAAUCAUUCAUAUGGUUUUAAAGAGACGCAGGACGCUCUGAUACUCGCAGCGCAAAUAAUUUGCACCGCGGCUGUGUAAACGCUCCUUAACUGAAAAGUUCGGUAGCUCAGGAAUCAUCCACCUUGUCAGGGAAGUGUAGAUUUAACCAUGGUUGGCUACAUAUGGAAAAGUGCAUCUCAUGAGUUACGACAAACAAAGACCCUGGGCGAGCAGAAUGUAAGUAAUGUGGAGGAACAUGAUAUAUUUCAAACAUGGGAGAGUGGCAUUAACGAGCUGUGCUAAAGGAAGCAGACAUCACUGCGCCGCCC
Molecule: long non-coding RNA, 2078 nt
Organism: Gasterosteus aculeatus aculeatus (three-spined stickleback)
Lineage: Eukaryota; Metazoa; Chordata; Actinopteri; Perciformes; Gasterosteidae
Source: Ensembl